GUGCCAGCUUAGGCAGCACAUAUAACUAAAAUUGGAACGAUACAAAGAUUAGCAUGUCUCCUGCACAGGGAUGACACAAACUGGUGAAGUGAUUCAUAUUUUA
Grammomys surdaster is the source of this 103-nucleotide small nuclear RNA. NCBI's taxonomy places the organism in Eukaryota, Metazoa, Chordata, Mammalia, Rodentia, Muridae. The record is from RefSeq and is a predicted model, not a curated record.